UUCAUUUGAUGUUGGUUUACUUGUGUUUGGGUCAUCUGGCAGGAAAGAAACAACAAGGUCUUUAUGGCUGGUGGCAGCGUCUUUCGACUAUUUGGGCGUUGGUUAAGUGUGUUCUUUUUGUUUGUAUUAUGUAUUGAACUUUAAAGCUUCUUUUUAACA
Medicago truncatula (barrel medic) is the source of this 159-nucleotide long non-coding RNA. RefSeq lists it as uncharacterized. The transcript has 2 exons. NCBI's taxonomy places the organism in Eukaryota, Viridiplantae, Streptophyta, Magnoliopsida, Fabales, Fabaceae. The record is from RefSeq and is a predicted model, not a curated record.